GUCUUUAUGAAGUUAUAUCAAGUCUAACCUGCCCACUGAAUUUUUUUAACGGCCGCGGUUUAAUCGUGCAAAGGUAGCAUAAUCAUUAGUAUUUUAAUUGAAGGCUAGAAUGAAAGGUUGGACAAAAAAUUAUCUGUCUUUUUAUUAAAUAUUGAAUUUUACUUUUAAGUGAAAAGGCUUAAAUAAUUUUAAGGGACGAUAAGACCCUAUAAAUCUUUAUAUAAACUAUUUUAUAAUUUUAACUUAUUAGUAAAUAAAAUAUAAAAAAGAUAUAUUAUGUUGGGGCAACAUUAAUAUAUUAAGAUUAACUGUUAAAUAAUAAAACCAAAAAUUUUUGAUGUUAAUAGAUCCUUUUUAAAGAUUAAAAAAUUAAGUUACUUUAGGGAUAACAGCGUAAUUUUUAUUGAGAGCCCUAAUCGAAAUAGAAGUUUACGACCUCGAUGUUGAAUUAAAAUUUCUUUAUAAUGCAGAAGUUAUAAAAGUAAGUCUGUUCGACUUUUAAAAUUUU
RNAcentral lists this ribosomal RNA (508 nucleotides) under Coralliogalathea minuta. Its description in RNAcentral is "partial 16S ribosomal RNA". The stretch from base 385 to 508 matches the Rfam family "Bacterial large subunit ribosomal RNA", at positions 2473 to 2597 of the family's 2925-position model. Lineage: Eukaryota; Metazoa; Arthropoda; Malacostraca; Decapoda; Galatheidae. The record is from RNAcentral.